CGGGUAUAGUUUAGUGGUAGAAUACGUCCUUGCCAAGGAUGAGACGAGGGUUCAAUUCCCUCUAUCCGC
RNAcentral lists this transfer RNA (69 nucleotides) under marine eukaryotic metagenome. It matches the Rfam family "tRNA". Rfam says of the family: Transfer RNA (tRNA) molecules are approximately 80 nucleotides in length. Their secondary structure includes four short double-helical elements and three loops (D, anti-codon, and T loops). The record is from RNAcentral.